RNAcentral lists this ribosomal RNA (501 nucleotides) under uncultured bacterium. RNAcentral describes it as "bacterial SSU rRNA". It matches the Rfam family "Bacterial small subunit ribosomal RNA", at positions 28 to 507 of the family's 1533-position model. The record is from RNAcentral.
GACGAACGCUGGCGGCGUGCCUAAUACAUGCAAGUCGAGCGGAAUGAUGAAGAAGCUUGCUUCUUCUGAUUUUAGCGGCGGACGGGUGAGUAACACGUGGGCAACCUACCUUGUAGAUUGGGAUAACUCCGGGAAACCGGGGCUAAUACCGAAUAAUCCAUUUUGCUUCAUGGCGAGAUGUUGAAAGACGGUUUCGGCUGUCACUAUAAGAUGGGCCCGCGGCGCAUUAGCUAGUUGGUAGGGGUAAUGGCCUACCAAGGCGACGAUGCGUAGCCGACCUGAGAGGGUGAUCGGCCACACUGGGACUGAGACACGGCCCAGACUCCUACGGGAGGCAGCAGUAGGGAAUCUUCCACAAUGGACGAAAGUCUGAUGGAGCAACGCCGCGUGAGUGAAGAAGGUUUUCGGAUCGUAAAACUCUGUUGUAAGGGAAGAACACGUACGAGAGUAACUGCUCGUACCUUGACGGUACCUUAUUAGAAAGCCACGGCUAACUACGUG